UUAAAAUAGUUUAAAAAAAAUAUUGAUUUGUGGAAUCGAAGAUUAUUUAUUAUUUUAAU
This 59-nucleotide transfer RNA is filed under the name Pariaconus pele. RNAcentral describes it as "tRNA-His". Lineage: Eukaryota; Metazoa; Arthropoda; Insecta; Hemiptera; Triozidae. The record is from RNAcentral.